This 391-nucleotide ribosomal RNA is filed under the name uncultured bacterium. Its description in RNAcentral is "bacterial SSU rRNA". It matches the Rfam family "Bacterial small subunit ribosomal RNA", at positions 28 to 412 of the family's 1533-position model. The record is from RNAcentral.
GACGAACGCUGGCGGCGUGCUUAACACAUGCAAGUGGAGCGACGAACCGGGGCUUGCCCCGGGGCAGAGCCGUGAACGGGUGAGUAACACGUGGGUAACCUGCCUCAAUGAUUGGGACAACCCGGGGAAACUCGGGCUAAUACCAAAUGUGUUCACUCCUUCUAAGGGGAGUGAGGAAAGGAAGCUUCGGCCUCCGCAUUGAGAUGGGGCCCGCGGCCCAUUAGCUUGUUGGUGAGGUAACGGCUCACCAAGGCUUCGAUGGGUAGCUGGUCUGAGAGGACGAUCAGCCACACUGGGACUGAGACACGGCCCAGACUCCUACGGGAGGCAGCAGUGGGGAAUCUUGCACAAUGCGCGAAAGCGUGAUGCAGCAAGCCGCGUGGGGGAAGAC